RNAcentral lists this ribosomal RNA (253 nucleotides) under uncultured bacterium. RNAcentral's name for it is "partial 16S ribosomal RNA". It matches the Rfam family "Bacterial small subunit ribosomal RNA", at positions 524 to 776 of the family's 1533-position model. The record is from RNAcentral.
UACGGAGGGGGCUAGCGUUGUUCGGAAUUACUGGGCGUAAAGCGCACGUAGGCGGCUUUGUAAGUUAGAGGUGAAAGCCCGGGGCUCAACUCCGGAAUUGCCUUUAAGACUGCAUCGCUAGAAUUGUGGAGAGGUAAGUGGAAUUCCGAGUGUAGAGGUGAAAUUCGUAGAUAUUCGGAAGAACACCAGUGGCGAAGGCGACUUACUGGACACAUAUUGACGCUGAGGUGCGAAAGCUAGGGGAGCAAACGGG